This is a long non-coding RNA of Anguilla rostrata (American eel), 2477 nucleotides long. RefSeq lists it as uncharacterized. The record is from RefSeq and is a predicted model, not a curated record. The transcript has 3 exons. NCBI's taxonomy places the organism in Eukaryota, Metazoa, Chordata, Actinopteri, Anguilliformes, Anguillidae.
UCAUCUUUGAGGUGACCGGCGCUUUUGGCCGAGGUUUCGACAUUUCGAGAAUAUCGUUCUAAAUAAGGGACGUCGUUCGAAGCCCUAGCUGUCAGUCAAAACGCGUAACUUAUUCUGUGGCGUUCUGGUCGACUCUAAGCAGAACUUAAUCCUUUAAGGUCAACAAAUCCUUUUGCUUGAUGGCUUUAAAAGUUUCCUUUCACUGCAUUUCUUAGUGAAAAUGACUGGCCAUUACUGCUUUCAUGUAAGGAUUGACCCAUACUAGAAUAUUCUUUCACUGUCUUGAUCUCAUAACUUUUAGUGUUUGGCUCACAUCAGUUAUAUUUCUGUACGCAAGACAACAUUUCUUUGCAAGAGAGGAAAGCAGAGGUCUACAGGGACUAAAGUCGCCUAAGAGGAUGUUGCUGUUGCGGUGGCUCGGGGGAGGAGGAGACAUAUCGGCGACGGUAUGAGAAACCCGCUCCCCAUAAAUAACGGACAUUUCUGAACCCCCCCGCUAUCUGUGAGGCCAAACGCACGGGAUUGGCGGAUAAAUUUCGCGUGCACGUACCUGGCUUGUGGCCCUGGACCAGGAGGAGGGUGAUGAGGAGGAGCAGGAGGACGAAGAGCAGCUUCUGUAAUCUCAUUUCGGCGCGUGGGUUUGGCGGAGAGCCUGGACUGAGGUCGGGGAUGCGUGAAGACGGAGGAGAGGCAGAGAAAAUCCUCCAGAGUUUCCCCCGGUGCGCAAGCUCACGGUUCACAAAUGCACAGGCUCUGCUUGCUCUGCUCCAGAGUUAAAGAUCGCACAGUCUCUGCUUGCUCUGCUCCAGAGUUAAAGAUCGCACAGUCUCUGCUCCAGAGUUAAAGAUCACAGUCUCUGCUUGCUCUGCUCCAGAGUUAAUGAUCACAUCAGGAGAAUUAGCGCUCAGGGUGGGGGGCCUGUGGGUAUCCCUCUUUUUUCUUCUUCUUGUGAGUUCCAACUCCACAGAGUAUAAACCUGGCACCCUGCUCUUUUUUCUUCCUUUCCUUCUUUUCUUUUGCUUGUAUCCCCCUUCAGAGACACCAAAUUUUCUUUCUUUUCUUUUUUUUUUUUUAAAAAAGGCACUUAGAAGAAUUUCACCAUGUCGACACCAAUUGUCCCGUCCGUGGAUGAGUGAGAAAGACCUCCGCAACAAUGCAGCAGCUGUCUAUGUUUGCUGUCUCAACGCAUAAGAAGGAAUGCAUCAUUACAGUGCCUGAACAAUACAGAGAUGGAACCAGCAGCCAUAGUCCUUCUUACUCAAAGCCUUUUUGGUUGUAAAAUGAUCGGCAUGUUGCUAAAAAAAAAAAGCAAAACAGCACUUUGGGAUUGUUUACAUUUGGGACGAGUGAGGUGUGCAUGUAUACAGUAUCAGUGCGGUGUCACACUGAAAGUUGACGCUGUGUCUUAGUGUGUUGGCGAGUGGCAAGAAUUUGUUUUCAUUUGGGAUUAUAUGUCAUUACAAGGAUUAACCCAACGGGGUCAAAUAAUCCCUACGUUACAAUUUAGCCAUUUAAACAUUAAACUACAUAAACUGGACAAGAAUUUAUAAACCAGAUGCUGUAAAACCAGACAUGCACUUUUUUUUGUUUUUUUUUACAAUUUUCUGACAGAUAGAAACAAGCACAUUUCAAAGAAGCAGCAUUCCCGUCUGUUAAAAGGUGAUAGCUGUUUGAUCGAUGACCUCAACAAAACAGUGAAAUUGCCACUGCGCAUUGUGAUUGUGGUGUCAAAGAGCCAAUAAAUGGCAGUUUAGACUGUAAGAUAAUCAGGUGUCACUGCUGCAUUUCAAACUGGCUGUAAAGCAGAUGAUCUCCUGCUACUGACAGAACAAGAAAGAAACCAGAUAGCCUACAUCUCUCUCUUCUCUCUUUCUCUUCCUCUCUCUCUCUCUCGGUUCUAUUCAGUUCAAUGUACGUUAUUGGUGUGAAAUAUAUACUGUGUAGCGCACAUUGCCAAAGCAAACAAGAAACACGCAAAACAAGUUGUGUCUGUCUUUUUGUAUCUGAAUUUGACCGUGUGAGGGAGAGGGGAGGUCUAAAUAAACAAAACCUUCUGUCCUGAUCUAUACGUUAUAUGAGUCUUAAGGGUGGGACACCGUCACAGGAACACAUCCCUGCAGAUAUACUGUCCAGAUGGAAGGCGAGAAUAGAAAUAAAAACAUGCCGAUUCCCCCCCCCGGGGUACACCGUCAGCGGCUGGAAGUGCGCUGCAAAUAGACACGUACUGCAUGGCGGAGUGCUUUAAACUCUGUGCGCGGAGAACGCGGAGUUUCUGAGGAAAACGCCGGAACCAGGGGCUUCAGUUUGUCGUGCGACGUGUCGUUUGUUGCACAUCAGGCAACAAAAAUGACAUUUAACUGCUGAGCCUGGUUGGGCUCGGGUCUGAUUCGGAUUUAUCUGUGGGGAAAAUAAAAGGCGAAUGGCCGACAGAGCCGCUUUGCAGUCAUUAGUGCAUAAAGGACGGAAAAACGGGCUCG